CUCCACCCUUCACUCGCCUCAUUGUGCCCAGGCAGCACCAAGGUCAGAAAUUAAUUGGAGACACUGCAAAACACACAGCCUGUAAUAUUUCAGUUCAGUGAGGUCACAAGAAAAACUCAGUUAAAGCCUUAUUAGAGCAGUUUACAGGAGCACAUUACUGCGAAUAUGAAAUGAGAGUCUUGUCUUGAUGGAUGCGUCACCUACCCAAGAUAUUUGUUGAGAAUAAUUUGAAAAUCACCCCCGUACAUGGUUGUAUAUUCUUCGUUGUGGGUCCUUCUAGUUGUGGCAUGUGGGACGCUGCCUCAGCGUGGUUUGACGAGCAGUGCCAUGUCCGCGCCCAGGAUUCGAACCAACGAAACACUGGGCCGCCUGCAGCGGAGCGCGCGAACUUAACCACUCGGCCACGGGGCCAGCCCCUGCAAUUAAUAUUUUUAUCCGGCCCAAGAAUCCUCUACCUACGGCUGGCAGAUGAAGAAAAGAAAUCGGAGGAGGCACACUGUCUACAGUUCAGAAUCCGGUGCCUUUUGAGACGCCUUUGCCUGCUGAAGAUGAAGGCUGCCUGGAGAGUAGUGAGCUC
Molecule: long non-coding RNA, 577 nt
Filed under: Equus caballus (horse)
Lineage: Eukaryota; Metazoa; Chordata; Mammalia; Perissodactyla; Equidae
Description: lncRNA (ENSECAG00000057533.1)
Source: RNAcentral